GCUAUGCUACAAUAUUAAGUAUAUGAACUGCGAGUAAAUCAACUGAAGACAAGAAGAACUACAACCGGCAACAGGAAGUGCGUCACGACGCUGGGAUCAGCCUACACGCCGACGACAGGAGGAGCAAGUUUAAACCACGCUCCUCCUCUCUCGGACAGGCCAGCAUUGAGCAGGAACUAUCUCUGUUAGAGUAUAAAAGAGAGAACAAUAGGAUGUGUCGCUCUCUUCUCUGUUUUGCCCUGCGAGGUGAAUCACACAUUCCACACAUGCAAAGACAGCCACAGGAAAUGGAAUCCUGGAUUCUUCAAGCAGCUGAUUGGUCGGCCCCAUCGACGAUUGGAGCUCUGAACCCUCCCUCUCGUCAGGGGAAACGGCUG
Molecule: long non-coding RNA, 377 nt
Filed under: Salmo salar (Atlantic salmon)
Lineage: Eukaryota; Metazoa; Chordata; Actinopteri; Salmoniformes; Salmonidae
Description: lncRNA (ENSSSAG00000114406.1)
Source: RNAcentral